Molecule: ribosomal RNA, 440 nt
Filed under: uncultured bacterium
Lineage: Bacteria
Description: bacterial SSU rRNA
Rfam family: Bacterial small subunit ribosomal RNA
Source: RNAcentral
AUUGAACGCUGGCGGCAGGCCUAACACAUGCAAGUCGAGCGUGAAAGUCCUUCGGGAUGAGUAAAGCGGCGGACGGGUGAGAAACGCGUAGGAAUCUACCCUAAAGAGGGGGGGCAACCCGAGGAAACUCGGGCUAAUACCGCAUAAUACUCUGAGGAGGAAAGGUUGGGCAGCAAUGCCUGACGCUUUAGGAAGAGCCUGCGUCCGAUUAGCUAGUUGGUUAGGUAAAGGCUGACCAAGGCGAUGAUCGGUAGCUGGUCUGAGAGGAUGAUCAGCCACACUGGGACUGAGACACGGCCCAGACUCCUACGGGAGGCAGCAGUGGGGAAUAUUGGACAAUGGGGGGCAACCCUGAUCCAGCAAUGCCGCGUGUGUGAAGAAGGCCUUCGGGUUGUAAGGCACUUUAGUUGGGGAAGAAGAUAUGUAUUUUAAGAGAUAAC